Odocoileus virginianus texanus is the source of this 1616-nucleotide non-coding RNA. Lineage: Eukaryota; Metazoa; Chordata; Mammalia; Artiodactyla; Cervidae. The record is from RefSeq and is a predicted model, not a curated record.
AGGGAGCCGCCUCUCAGGGAGCACUGCCCUUUACAAGAGAGGCGCGGCUGGCUUAAAGGUGAGGGAAACGGAAGAGACUAGAACAAUGGACUCCUCAGCCACGUCACUCUGACGGCCUGCCUGGCUCCGCCCCUCUCUCCCUAUUGGUUGAACCCACCCAGGAACCUCCCGCGGGAACUGGAUGGGAUCCCACAGGUGAGGCCCCCAGGAUGCGAGUCAGUGCAGACAGGCAGAUCGCAGGUCUGGAGGGCAGGACAGAGGAUACGUGUCACUGAGGGGGAACACCGUACUGCGAAGGCAUUGAAGGCUGGCUGGUGCCAUUUUGUCUACUCUGGAGAACUGUGUGUUGGGAUAUGGUUCUGAAGGCAGUGGGACCGUGCAGAGUUCUUGAGCAGAAGGGACACAGUGAGGGAAUAAAAUCUACACUGGGAUGGAGACCGUCUGGGCCAGACCUCAGGCUCCCUGCCUUUCCGGUGUUACACACUUUCUUUUGAGGCAGCUACAGCAACUCUUAGGACCUUCGCUCCCACCCCUAAGGGCAGCAGCUCCUGUCUUCAGUUUGUAGUGGAAUUCCCCAAGAAAACUCUUUUUUUCUGGGAUUGCCCCCCUCUCUCCUUUCUUACCUGUUUUAAAAUCUUGCAGUUUUUAAAGUCUGCCCUGAUAACUGUAACCUGGUUGGCUUCGAACUUUCUAGAAAGAAAGCUGGAUCUGAAGCAGCUCCCUGAACCACAGUCUCACAGCUGUGAUAGAGCCAAGUCACCAAACCCCUUUUCCGAAGGAAAGGGAACGUGCCUCAUGACAGCCUGACGCAGAUCCCCUCUGACAGACACACGAGGUAAUGACUCCAAAUGAGCACCUUCCCACGGACAACUGGAAAAGAGACUUCGCAUUGUUCUUCAGCCUGUGUUUGCUGGAGAAAUGACUGCGUUGGUUGUUCUGCACAUUUCCUCUCUGAACAAUGCCUUUAUUGAAUCAAUUUAAAUAUUCUAGGAAGGAAGCGCUUUGUGACAGAAGCAACCUGAUGCCUGAAUGUGGGCUUGAAACAUGAAGGUGACCCUGGAAGUCAGUCUUUAGGGCUGUUUCUUUACCCUCUGAUGGCUGUGUGUAUGUCUGCCUUGCCACAAAGGACUUGACCCUGUCUUUUCCCCAUCAUUUUUGGGUGGAGAUAGACUGUGGGGGAAGUGGCAAUGGAAACCAACAACAGGGACCUCAGGGAACUGAUGGAUUUGCUCUGUCCCUUUGUGAGGGGGGCUUUGAAGAAGAUGUCAGUCUCGAGAUUGCUUGAGAUGAGGUCAGUUGGGAAGUUUCAGUUCUUCCUCCUUCCAGGUGCUAAUUCCAGGCCUCUACACCCCAAAGCAGGGGUGCUACUGCUUCCUCCGAAAAACAAUUGAACGCUCCGCGCUGAUGGGCUGUUUAUCUUCGCCACCACAACAGCGGCAGCCUCAGCAGCUGAGGAAGCGGCAAGCCGUUUUCUGCUUCGGCUCCUGCCGAGAGGGCAGAAUUAAGACAAACACUUUCAUUCUUGGCUGCCAAAGCGUUUUAGCUUCUGAAAAGCAAGGCAGGUAAAACGCCAUCACCCCGUAAGGAAAUAAAUAAAUAAAGCCCUGGUGAUGAGA